Long non-coding RNA from Rhineura floridana, 292 nucleotides. RefSeq lists it as uncharacterized. NCBI's taxonomy places the organism in Eukaryota, Metazoa, Chordata, Lepidosauria, Squamata, Rhineuridae. The transcript has 3 exons. The record is from RefSeq and is a predicted model, not a curated record.
UAUAAAUCUGCAAGGGAAAUAGAUGUGCUGAACAAAGAAGCCACACCAUUGCUCUGUCUCAGAGGUUAUACAUCCCCAACUCAUUCAACCCUUCCUCAAAAGACGUGGUCUCCAGGCCCCUCACCACCUUUGUCACUCUCCUCUGGACACAUUCCAGUUUGCUGAGAUCCUUUUUAAACUGCAGUACCCAGAAAUGGACACUGAUUUUACCAGAUGACUAGCUGAAAUCAAGAUAUACUAUGUCCAUAGCAUUCCUCCGAUCUACCAAGUAACUAAUUCCAUCAAAAAGAGA